RNAcentral lists this long non-coding RNA (460 nucleotides) under Trifolium pratense (red clover). RNAcentral's name for it is "long non-coding RNA (TPRA_LNC006413)". The record is from RNAcentral. Lineage: Eukaryota; Viridiplantae; Streptophyta; Magnoliopsida; Fabales; Fabaceae.
GGCAAUGAUGACCAACACAAGCAAAAUAUUUUGAAGGAAUCAAAAGAUGAUAAUUCUCAAGGUGCAGGUAAUUCAGGACAUGUAAAGGCCAAGGGGAAGAAAAGCAAAUCCAAGAAAAACAAGAAAAAGGGUAAGAAAUGAAAAUUGUCAGGUUUAUGUACAUGCAAAUGCUGUAGUAAUUUUUGUUUUUACACUUCAAACUGUCUGGUUAUGGUAUUAGCUGAAUUUGGAAUCUUUGCAACAAACUUUUGAAGAUUUAUUAUUGAUAUGAAAAUGCAUCCUUUUGUCAUCGAGCAAGGUUGGUGUAAUUUUGUCAAAGUCUCACCACUCUUUAUAUAGAUAGUGUUGGGAGGUAAACAAUGUUGUAAUCAAAACUAGUUUGAUACUUAAAUGGUGCUUUCUAUAUAUAUCACCAAUAUUAAUAUGAAAUAGAAUUUUCUUCAAAACUUGUUUCUGGGAU